This 506-nucleotide ribosomal RNA is filed under the name uncultured bacterium. RNAcentral describes it as "bacterial SSU rRNA". It matches the Rfam family "Bacterial small subunit ribosomal RNA", at positions 10 to 507 of the family's 1533-position model. The record is from RNAcentral.
AGUUUGAUCAUGGCUCAGGAUGAACGCUAGCGGCAGGCUUAAUACAUGCAAGUCGUGGGCAGCAGGUUUGUAGCAAUACAGAUGCUGGCGACCGGCAAACGGGUGCGGAACACGUACAGAACCUUCCUUUGAGCGGGGAAUAGCCCAGAGAAAUUUGGAUUAAUACCCCAUAGUAUAAUGAAGUGGCAUCACUUUAUUAUUAAAGAUUUAUCACUCGAAGAUGGCUGUGCGGCUGAUUAGGUAGUUGGCGGGGUAAAGGCCCACCAAGCCUGCGAUCAGUAACUGGUGUGAGAGCACGACCAGUCACACGGGCACUGAGACACGGGCCCGACUCCUACGGGAGGCAGCAGUAAGGAAUAUUGGUCAAUGGAGGCAACUCUGAACCAGCCAUGCCGCGUGGAGGAUGAAGGUCCUCCUGGAUUGUAAACUUCUUUUAUAUGGGACGAAAAAAGGCUUUUCUAAGUCGUCUGACGGUACCAUAUGAAUAAGCACCGGCUAACUCCGUG